GGAGGUGGAUGGAAGAUCGCCGGCGGGCAGAGAUAUCGCCCGCGGGAGGAAAGUCCGGGCUCCACAGGGCAGGGAAGUCGUUAACGGCGACCCGGGGUGACCCGAGGGAAAGCGCAACAGAAAUCACACCGCCUAAGCGGGAGGCAACUCCCGCCGGUAAGGGUGAAAUCGUGGGGUAAGAGCCCACGCGCGACAGCCGGGUGACCGGCGGCGAGGCAAGCCCUUCCCGGAGCAAGCUCGAAUAGGGGUACUGUCGAGGGCGGCCCGCCCAAACGACCUGCGUGAGCAGGAAGCAGUACCCGGGUGAGAGUGCUUGAGCGUCACGGCAACGCGGCGCCUAGAGGAAUGAUCUUCUCCGCUUGGGGGGCAACGCCCGAGCGGAACAGAACCCGGCUUAUAGUCCACGUGGGUGC
RNAcentral lists this RNase P RNA (413 nucleotides) under bacterium TMED88. Its description in RNAcentral is "RNase P RNA component class A". It matches the Rfam family "Bacterial RNase P class A". From Rfam's summary of the family: Ribonuclease P (RNase P) is a ubiquitous endoribonuclease, found in archaea, bacteria and eukarya as well as chloroplasts and mitochondria. Its best characterised activity is the generation of mature 5'-ends of tRNAs by cleaving the 5'-leader elements of precursor-tRNAs. RNAcentral also lists the same sequence under 1 other name. The record is from RNAcentral.